UACGUAGGGGGCAAGCGUUGUCCGGAAUUAUUGGGCGUAAAGGGCACGCAGGCGGUGGUUUAAGUUUGGUGUUUAAUCCCAGGGCUCAACCCUGGUUCGCACUGAAAACUGGAUCACUUGAGUACAGAAGAGGAGAGUGGAAUUCCACGUGUAGCGGUGAAAUGCGUAGAGAUGUGGAGGAACACCAGUGGCGAAGGCGACUCUCUGGUCUGUAACUGACGCUGAGGUGCGAAAGCGUGGGUAGCAAACAGG
RNAcentral lists this unclassified non-coding RNA (252 nucleotides) under uncultured Paenibacillaceae bacterium. Its description in RNAcentral is "contains 16S-23S intergenic spacer region". It matches the Rfam family "Bacterial small subunit ribosomal RNA", at positions 524 to 776 of the family's 1533-position model. Lineage: Bacteria; Bacillati; Bacillota; Bacilli; Caryophanales; Paenibacillaceae. The record is from RNAcentral.